CAGGUGCCGGAUAUCAUCUCGUGAAAUUCUAUGGCAGUACUGGCUGUGCCUGAGAAACCUCCUGCCACUCAAGCCCAGCAAGUCUUAUGAAGCAAGCUGCCUACAGAAAUGUCCAUGUGUCAGGAAACUGAAGCUGGCUCAUGGUCAGCAGCCAGCAAGCUACAAAGGGCUUCCAACAGCCCAUGAAGCACUGAGUCCUGCCAAAAGCCACGUGCAUGAGCUUAGAAGAGCUUCAUCCUCCAGGCUAGGAAAGAGACAGUCGGUGUGCAGCAAGAGAAAAGAGAGGAGGAAACAUGUGGAAAGACCCAAAGAAUGAAGACACAAGAGCAUGCCUGAAUGCAAUGGGAAGUAGAUCAGUUGACCUUUGCUGAAUAACAAGGUGGACCUAAAACUGGGUGACUUGAAACAGCACCAGACGACAUGAACCAUACUCCAAAAAUGAAAUACUGAUAAGAGGGGAUGGAGAGCUA
RNAcentral lists this long non-coding RNA (470 nucleotides) under Homo sapiens (human). RNAcentral's name for it is "HSALNT0069147". Lineage: Eukaryota; Metazoa; Chordata; Mammalia; Primates; Hominidae. The record is from RNAcentral.